This 21-nucleotide unclassified non-coding RNA is filed under the name Mus musculus (house mouse). Its description in RNAcentral is "oocyte_clustered_small_RNA7182". Lineage: Eukaryota; Metazoa; Chordata; Mammalia; Rodentia; Muridae. The record is from RNAcentral.
ACCACAUUCUGCUCGCCACUA